GUGAGGAAUUUUGCGCAAUGGCCGCAAGGCUGACGCAGCAACGCCGCGUGGGUGAUGAAGGCCUUCGGGUCGUAAAGCCCUGUCAGGUGGGAAGAAAGGCCUUAAGGAGAAACGCUUGAGGUUUGACGGUACCACCAGAGGAAGUACCGGCUAACUCCGUGCCAGCAGCCGCGGUAAUACGGAGGGUGCGAGCGUUAUUCGGAAUUACUGGGCGUAAAGCGCGUGUAGGCGGGGGGACAAGUCUGAUGUGAAAGCCCUGGGCUUAACCUGGGAAGUGCAUUGGAAACUGUUUUUCUUGAGUACUGGAGAGGAAGGGGGAAUUCCCGGUGUAGAGGUGAAAUUCGUAGAGAUCGGGAGGAAUACCAGUGGCGUAGGCGCCCUUCUGGACGGUAACUGACGCUGAGACGCGAAAGCGUGGGGAGCAAACAGGAUUAGAAACCCGAGUAGUCC
This 450-nucleotide ribosomal RNA is filed under the name uncultured bacterium. RNAcentral describes it as "partial 16S ribosomal RNA". It matches the Rfam family "Bacterial small subunit ribosomal RNA", at positions 354 to 796 of the family's 1533-position model. The record is from RNAcentral.